This 130-nucleotide small RNA is filed under the name Pantoea dispersa. RNAcentral's name for it is "RtT sRNA". It matches the Rfam family "RtT RNA". Rfam says of the family: This family represents a bacterial cis-regulatory element known as RtT RNA. The exact function of RtT is unknown although it is thought that it may be involved in changing the cellular response in relation to amino acid starvation. The record is from RNAcentral. Lineage: Bacteria; Pseudomonadati; Pseudomonadota; Gammaproteobacteria; Enterobacterales; Erwiniaceae.
UUUCGUUCGUAGCAAAAGAGGAUGAGAACCCCCGAAGGAGGUUUGAGCCGAGCGAAGCGAGACAACGUUGCGUCAGCAACGGCCCGCAGGGCGCUUCUCGCAGAGAAGCGUAAUCCUCUCUCGCCGACCA